UGGUAAUGCCGGAUGCUCCGGUUGGAUGCAUGUCCUUCCGGGAAAGAUUCCAUCGGUAUGGGAUGGGGUCGCGUCCUAUCAGCUUGAUGGCGGGGUAACGGCCCACCAUGGCUUCGACGGGUAGCCGGCCUGAGAGGGCGACCGGCCACAUUGGGACUGAGAUACGGCCCAGACUCCUACGGGAGGCAGCAGUGGGGAAUAUUGCACAAUGGGCGCAAGCCUGAUGCAGCGACGCCGCGUGCGGGAUGGAGGCCUUCGGGUUGUAAACCGCUUUUGAUCGGGAGCAAGCCCUUCGGGGUGAGUGUACCCUUCGAAUAAGCACCGGCUAACUACGUGCCAGCAGCCGCGGUAAUACGUAGGGUGCAAGCGUUAUCCGGAAUUAUUGGGCGUAAAGGGCUCGUAGGCGGUUCGUCGCGUCCGGUGUGAAAGCCCAUCGCUUAACGGUGGGUCUGCGCCGGGUACGGGCGGGCUGGAGUGCGGUAGGGGAGACUGGAAUUCCCGGUGUAACGGUGGAAUGUGUAGAUAUCGG
Molecule: ribosomal RNA, 529 nt
Filed under: Bifidobacterium dentium
Lineage: Bacteria; Bacillati; Actinomycetota; Actinomycetes; Bifidobacteriales; Bifidobacteriaceae
Description: bacterial SSU rRNA
Rfam family: Bacterial small subunit ribosomal RNA
Source: RNAcentral